Molecule: ribosomal RNA, 241 nt
Filed under: uncultured Staphylococcus sp.
Lineage: Bacteria; Bacillati; Bacillota; Bacilli; Caryophanales; Staphylococcaceae
Description: partial 16S ribosomal RNA
Rfam family: Bacterial small subunit ribosomal RNA
Source: RNAcentral
CGGACGGGUGAGUAACACGUGGAUAACCUACCUAUAAGACUGGGAUAACUUCGGGAAACCGGAGCUAACACCGGAUAAUAUUUUGAACCGCAUGGUUCAAAAGUGAAAGACGGUCUUGCUGUCACUUAUAGAUGGAUCCGCGCUGCAUUAGCUAGUUGGUAAGGUAACGGCUUACCAAGGCAACGAUGCAUAGCCGACCUGAGAGGGUGAUCGGCCACACUGGAACUGAGACACGGUCCAG